AUGUAAACAAUGAGAAUUAAAAUCAGUAAACCUAUCACCAUUGAGUUCCUUUCUUCUUUCACGCUCAAUCAUCCUUCUCUCUCUCAAUUUCGAUCUCUUACCCUCACCAGAGAAAGGUGGCCGACGGCGGCUCGCCGCCCCCUCCGGCGUUUCCCCACCUCGAAACCCUAAUACCCAAACACCAACCUCCCUUGUUUUCGUGCUCUUUCCAAAUCUAUAUUCAGUUUUUUUUCAAAAAUCUCAACCAACAAAGAGAUGAUGAAUGGAGCAACAAUAAAAUCAAAGAACAAAUCAAAACAACGACCAACAAGAUUCGAUUUUCACAAUCAAAGUAAAAAAAACAAAAAUGAAAGAGUCAAAAGAGGGCUACCUAGGUUCAGCAACAAAAUAAGAAUAUGUCCAAGGCAAAGAGAGCAGAGUUCGGACUGUGUAGAGGAAUGAAAGAGAUAAACUAUCUCUUAGUCAUUGUGUAACUAAUACAAUUGAAGAGUCCCUUUAAUUUUGUAAUGUGUGUAAUAGAGGCUUAGUGAUGUAAUAUAAAUUCCUAUUUUCUUUUUUAAA
Molecule: long non-coding RNA, 561 nt
Organism: Lathyrus oleraceus (garden pea)
Lineage: Eukaryota; Viridiplantae; Streptophyta; Magnoliopsida; Fabales; Fabaceae
Exons: 2
Source: RefSeq, a predicted model, not a curated record